GUCGUGUUGGCCUUAGUGGAUUUCCUGGGUUGCCGGGGCCGAUGGGAGAGAUGGGCAAAUCAGGAGAGGGAGGCCCUGAAGGAGAGCCCGGUAUUAAGGGAAGACCAGGCGUCCCAGGAGGAACUGGCAUUAAAGGACAUAAGGGACUUCAAGGUCUUUCUGGUAACCGCGGAGUUGAUGGAACCCAUGGACCAUCUGGACCUAUAGGUCUGCCAGGACAAGAUGGAGACACCGGACCACGGGGAGAAAAGG
This is a long non-coding RNA of Sardina pilchardus (European sardine), 252 nucleotides long. RefSeq lists it as uncharacterized. NCBI's taxonomy places the organism in Eukaryota, Metazoa, Chordata, Actinopteri, Clupeiformes, Clupeidae. The record is from RefSeq and is a predicted model, not a curated record. The transcript has 5 exons.